RNAcentral lists this ribosomal RNA (1347 nucleotides) under metagenome. RNAcentral describes it as "bacterial LSU rRNA". It matches the Rfam family "Bacterial large subunit ribosomal RNA", at positions 1558 to 2925 of the family's 2925-position model. The record is from RNAcentral.
GAGACGUGAAGUGGAGCGAACAAAAGUAGCGAAGCAUAUGAGCCAUGUGCCAAGAAAAGCCGCUAUAGCAUGCAGUAUACCCGUACCGUAAACCGACACAGGUGGAUGAGGAGAGAAUCCCAAGGCCGACGGAAGGAGCAUUGUUAAGGAACUCGGCAAAAUGACCCCGUAACUUCGGGAGAAGGGGUGCCCGUGUAACAGCGGGCCGCAGAGAAUAGGCUCAAGCAACUGUUUAGCAAAAACACAGGUCUAUGCAAAACCGAAAGGUGAGGUAUAUGGGCUGACGCCUGCCCGGUGCUGGAAGGUUAAGAGGAGGAGUCAGGCAACGAAGCUCCGAAUUUAAGCCCCAGUAAACGGCGGCCGUAACAAUAACGGUCCUAAGGUAGCGAAAUUCCUUGUCGGGUAAGUUCCGACCCGCACGAAAGGCGUAAUGAUUUGAGCACUGUCUCGACAAUGCAUCCGGUGAAAUUGAAGUACCAGUGAAGAUGCUGGUUACCUGCGCCAGGACGGAAAGACCCCAUGGAGCUUUACUCCAGCUUGAUACUGGGAUUCGAUGCUGUAUGUACAGGAUAGGUGGGAGACGUUAGAAGAUAUGACGCCAGUUGUAUCAGAGUCGCUGUUGGGAUACCACCCUUGCAGUAUCGGAUUUCUAACCUGCAGCCGUGACCCGGCUGGGGGACAAUGUCUGGCGGGGAGUUUGACUGGGGCGGUCACCUCCGAAAGGGUAUCGGAGGCGCUCAAAGGUUCCCUCAGAAUGGUUGGAAACCAUUCGAAGAGUGCAAAGGCAGAAGGGAGCUUGACUGCGACACCGACGGGUGGAGCAGGUACGAAAGUAGGACUUAGUGAUCCGGUGGUAUAAAGUGGGAUUGCCAUCGCUCAACGGAUAAAAGCUACCCUGGGAUAACAUGCUUAUCACUCCCAAGAGUUCACAUCGACGGAGUGGUUUGGCACCUCGAUGUCGGCUCAUCGCAUCCUGGGGCUGUAGCAGGUCCCAAGGGUUGGGCUGUUCGCCCAUUAAAGCGGUACGCGAGCUGGGUUCAGAACGUCGUGAGACAGUUCGGUCCCUAUCCGGCGUAGGCGAAGGAUAUUUGAGAGGAGCUGUCCUUAGUACGAGAGGACCGGGAUGGACGGACCACUGGUGUAUCUGUUAGGUAUCAGACCUAUGGCAGAGUAGCCAAGUCCGGCAGGGAUAAACGCUGAAGGCAUCUAAGCGUGAAGCCCCACUCAAGAUGAGAUAUCCAAGUGUCGCAAGACAUGAGAGACCCCUUGAAGACGACGAGGUAGAUAGGAGUGAGGUGUAAGCAUAGUAAUAUGCUCAGCUGACACUUACUAAUCGGUCAAGAGCUG